GAUGAACGCUGGCGGCGUGCCUAAUACAUGCAAGUCGAGCGAACAGAUGAGGAGCUUGCUCCUCUGACGUUAGCGGCGGACGGGUGAGUAACACGUGGAUAACCUACCUAUAAGACUGGGAUAACUUCGGGAAACCGGAGCUAAUACCGGAUAAUAUAUUGAACCGCAUGGUUCAAUAGUGAAAGACGGUUUUGCUGUCACUUAUAGAUGGAUCCGCGCCGCAUUAGCUAGUUGGUAAGGUAACGGCUUACCAAGGCAACGAUGCGUAGCCGACCUGAGAGGGUGAUCGGCCACACUGGAACUGAGACACGGUCCAGACUCCUACGGGAGGCAGCAGUAGGGAAUGUUCCGCAAUGGGCGAAAGCGUGACGGAGCAACGCCGCGUGAGUGAUGAAGGUCUUCGGAUCGUAAAACUCUGUUAUUAGGGAAGAACAAAUGUGUAAGUAACUAUGCACGUCUUGACGGUACCUAAUCAGAAAGCCACGGCUAACUACGUG
Molecule: ribosomal RNA, 497 nt
Filed under: uncultured bacterium
Lineage: Bacteria
Description: partial 16S ribosomal RNA
Rfam family: Bacterial small subunit ribosomal RNA
Source: RNAcentral